CAAAAUAAUAUUAAAAUAGAAAAAAAAAUGUCUCAUUACUUCUAGCUUCGUAACUUGCCCUAGCCAUUUAGAUCUUGCUGAUUCACAGUGCAAUCAUAUCAUGCUUAUGUAUAUUUAGAACAACAACCGUUCUUUAAAUGACAGGGAUACAUAUCGAGGGAAAAGAUCAGAUUCAUUUGUAGCACGUAUAAAUUGAUGACAGAAGACAGUUCAAUUAAUUAGUUGUCUGCUGAAAAGGCUAGCCAUUUGCUGCAGAAUAAGGAGAUUCAACUGCAAGUCCCAUCACUUAAGAUAUGCCAAUGUAGAACCCGCAAAUCCUUCUGUCAGUCUUCUAUCAUUCAAUGCCAGCCGCUUAGGUAUCUUACCUAUUAAUGAAGUGAUCAAGUAUCUUUAACAGCAAAUCAUGUAUAUAGUUCUUGAUCUUUAGUAGUUGAAUAUUGAUGUAAUGAAGGAGAAAUAAAUGUUGGAUUUUGCUACCUGUAAAUAAAAAAUAUACAUAAUGGGAGUUAACUAGAAUUAUGAUGGAUGACGAUUUCUAAACACAUCUGAAGAGAAAAUUUAUCAAGCUGUAUUGAGUUCUAACUCGUCUUCAAAUGAGUGACAAUUUUUGUAUAUUGAUACUCAAAAUUACUCUUCUUUAUCCACUAUACAAUUUGACUAGAUCUUCAAGUUUCGCCGGUUGUCUAUCGAUUACUUAUUUUUAUCUUUUCUCGAUUUGCUCUCAAGUAAGAGGUUAUACGUUCAUAAGUUGAUACUUUAAUUGUUAGCGACGGAAAUCGUGUAAACCUUAUUUUCUUUGUUGAUUCACGUAGUUGCAUCUUUCCAUGCUUAGACCAAAAGCCACUAGUAGGAGAAAUAAAAGGGUAGAGAAUAAUAUGGCCAACUUUUCUGUCCUGUAAUGAUUUAUACUUUUGUCCUAUAUAUUACAAUAAAACAUUUUUAGGAUUUUUAAUAUAGUCCUAUCAAACUAGCUCGUCUCCCAAACAAAGAAAGCAAAGUAAAAUUAACAGACACCCAAUAAUGUCUUUUCACUCAAAUUACAUGACUUUUCAUCAAUAUAAUAAAGCAAAAGCAGAAGAGAUAACAUAGUAAAAAGCAGGAUUACAACUUUGUUAUAUCUAAUUCAAGACAAAGCAAAUACAUAUUAUAGGUGUAAGGGAUGCAUGCCCAGCAGCAGCAAAACAAGGCAUUUCCAUAAAUGCCCAAACCUUUGACAAAUAUUCCAAACCCAACCCCAAACUAGAACCCCAAUAACUAACUGCUUAACCCUUCUUGAAGCUUACCUGGUAUGCAUCUCUUACAUCCCAUCUUUUAUCUGAUUAAUAACAACAAAGCAAACCAAGGACAAAUAUGUAAAAACAGAACCAAGCUAAGGUUAAAAAGGUAAAUUCGGACCGCUACCCUCAAUUCCCCGCAAAGCAAUAAUGCUCUCCAAGUUUUGCACUUAAGGAGAGCAAAAUUGCUAAGCCUUUUGUUUGUUGUUGGCUUUCAGACUUAUUUACAUUUCUACCUUCCUCCGCCUCCGCCACGGCUGCCACCACCAUAUUCCUCCUCCUCCUCCACCACCACCACCAGAGGAGUCGCAACCAAUCAUAUUGCUACCAGGAAAAAGGAAAACUAUGAAAUGGCAGAGGAACAAUGAGAUGGAGAAAAUCUGGCCGAAGUUGGCUAAGCUAUCAAGAAAGUGAGACCAUACAAAGAAAAGUGAAUGUAGAUAUGAGAGGAGGGGCCAUUACGAGUCCCUUAUAAAGGCAAGAGUGUAGCUUUUUGGUUGAAUAUGAAACCCUUUUGAUUAUACACAUACAUAGAAGAAAGGGGGAGGGGGCUAGUGUAGUUUUAAAAUUGUAGUCUAGUCUGGUUAAGGGCAUGUUUGUGGGGAAUGUAG
This 1885-nucleotide long non-coding RNA is filed under the name Olea europaea subsp. europaea. Lineage: Eukaryota; Viridiplantae; Streptophyta; Magnoliopsida; Lamiales; Oleaceae. The record is from RNAcentral.